UACGAAGGGAGCUAGCGUUGUUCGGAAUCACUGGGCGUAAAGCGCACGUAGGCGGAUUUGUCAGUCAGGGGUGAAAUCCCGGGGCUCAACCUCGGAACUGCCUUUGAUACAGCAAGUCUUGAGUUCGAGAGAGGUGGGUGGAAUUCCUAGUGUAGAGGUGAAAUUCGUAGAUAUUAGGAAGAACACCGGAUGGCGAAGGCGCAGUCGUCUGGC
This 213-nucleotide ribosomal RNA is filed under the name uncultured bacterium. Its description in RNAcentral is "partial 16S ribosomal RNA". It matches the Rfam family "Bacterial small subunit ribosomal RNA", at positions 524 to 733 of the family's 1533-position model. The record is from RNAcentral.